This 433-nucleotide ribosomal RNA is filed under the name uncultured bacterium. RNAcentral describes it as "partial 16S ribosomal RNA". It matches the Rfam family "Bacterial small subunit ribosomal RNA", at positions 29 to 507 of the family's 1533-position model. The record is from RNAcentral.
AACGAACGCUGGCGGCAUGCCUAACACAUGCAAGUCGAACGAGACCUUCGGGUCUAGUGGCGCACGGGUGCGUAACGCGUGGGAACAUGCCCUUAGGUUCGGAAUAACUCCCCGAAAGGAGUGCUAAUACCGGAUAAUGUCUUCGGACCAAAGAUUUAUAGCCUUUGGAUGGGCUCGCGUUGGAUUAGCUAGUUGGUAGGGUAAAAGCCUACCAAGGCGCCGAUCCAUAGCUGGUCUGAGAGGAUGAUCAGCCACACUGGGACUGAGACACGGCCCAGACUCCGACGGGAGGCAGCAGUGGGGAAUAUUGGACAAUGGGCGAAAGCCUGAUCCAGCAAUGCCGCGUGAGUGAUGAAGGCCUUAGGGUUGUAAAGCUCUUUUACCCGGGAUGAUAAUGACAGUACCGGGAGAAGAAGCUCCGGCUAACUCCGUG